This 343-nucleotide unclassified non-coding RNA is filed under the name soil metagenome. Its description in RNAcentral is "partial contains 5.8S ribosomal RNA, internal transcribed spacer 2, and large subunit ribosomal RNA". The stretch from base 1 to 120 matches the Rfam family "5.8S ribosomal RNA", at positions 35 to 154 of the family's 154-position model. The record is from RNAcentral.
GAUGAAGAACGCAGCGAAAUGCGAUAAGUAAUGUGAAUUGCAGAAUUCAGUGAAUCAUCGAAUCUUUGAACGCACAUUGCGCCCGCCAGCAUUCUGGCGGGCAUGCCUGUUCGAGCGUCAUUUCAACCCUCGAGCCCCCCCGGGGGCCUCGGUGUUGGGGGACGGCACACCAGCCGCCCCCGAAAUGCAGUGGCGACCCCGCCGCAGCCUCCCCUGCGUAGUAGCACACACCUCGCACCGGAGCGCGGAGGCGGUCACGCCGUAAAACGCCCAACUUUCUUAGAGUUGACCUCGGAUCAGGUAGGAAUACCCGCUGAACUUGAGCAUAUCAAUAAGCGGAGGA